This 1056-nucleotide ribosomal RNA is filed under the name uncultured Cryobacterium sp. Its description in RNAcentral is "bacterial SSU rRNA". It matches the Rfam family "Bacterial small subunit ribosomal RNA", at positions 338 to 1393 of the family's 1533-position model. The record is from RNAcentral. Lineage: Bacteria; Bacillati; Actinomycetota; Actinomycetes; Micrococcales; Microbacteriaceae.
CCUACGGGAGGCAGCAGUGGGGAAUAUUGCACAAUGGGCGCAAGCCUGAUGCAGCAACGCCGCGUGAGGGACGAAGGCCUUCGGGUUGUAAACCUCUUUUAGUAGGGAAGAAGCGACUGGGUUUUCCUGGGAGUGACGGUACCUGCAGAAAAAGCACCGGCUAACUACGUGCCAGCAGCCGCGGUAAUACGUAGGGUGCAAGCGUUGUCCGGAAUUAUUGGGCGUAAAGAGCUCGUAGGCGGUUUGUCGCGUCUGCUGUGAAAACCCGAGGCUCAACCUCGGGCCUGCAGUGGGUACGGGCAGACUAGAGUGCGGUAGGGGAGAUUGGAAUUCCUGGUGUAGCGGUGGAAUGCGCAGAUAUCAGGAGGAACACCAAUGGCAAGGCAGAUCUCUGGGCCGUAACUGACGCUGAGGAGCGAAAGCAUGGGGAGCGAACAGGAUUAGAUACCCUGGUAGUCCAUGCCGUAAACGUUGGGAACUAGAUGUGGGGAUCAUUCCACGGUCUCCGUGUCGCAGCUAACGCAUUAAGUUCCCCGCCUGGGGAGUACGGCCGCAAGGCUAAAACUCAAAGGAAUUGACGGGGGCCCGCACAAGCGGCGGAGCAUGCGGAUUAAUUCGAUGCAACGCGAAGAACCUUACCAAGGCUUGACAUAUACCGGAAACGGCUGGAAACAGUCGCCCCGCAAGGUCGGUAUACAGGUGGUGCAUGGUUGUCGUCAGCUCGUGUCGUGAGAUGUUGGGUUAAGUCCCGCAACGAGCGCAACCCUCGUCCUAUGUUGCCAGCACGUAAUGGUGGGAACUCAUGGGAUACUGCCGGGGUCAACUCGGAGGAAGAUGGGGAUGACGUCAAAUCAUCAUGCCCCUUAUGUCUUGGGCUUCACGCAUGCUACAAUGGCCGGUACAAAGGGCUGCGAUACCGCAAGGUGGAGCGAAUCCCAAAAAGCCGGUCUCAGUUCGGAUUGAGGUCUGCAACUCGACCUCAUGAAGUCGGAGUCGCUAGUAAUCGCAGAUCAGCAACGCUGCGGUGAAUACGUUCCCGGGCCUUGUACACACCGC